GCGUGGGGAGCAAACAGGAUUAGAUACCCUGGUAGUCCACGCAGUAAACGAUGAAUGUUAGUCGUCGGGUAGCUAGUCUAUUCGGUGAUGCAGCUAACGCAUUAAACAUUCCGCCUGGGGAGUACGGUCGCAAGAUUAAAACUCAAAGGAAUAGACGGGGACCCGCACAAGUGUUGGAGCAUGUGGUUUAAUUCGAAGAUACGCGAAGAACCUUACCUAGCCUUGACAUAUAUUAGAACACUUUAGAGAUAGAGUGGUGCCUUCGGGAGCUUUUAUACAGGUGCUGCACGGCUGUCGUCAGCUCGUGUCGUGAGAUGUUGGGUUAAGUCCCGCAACGAGCGCGACCCUCGUCACUAGUUACUAACGGUUCGGCCGAGGACUCUAGUGAGACUGCCUUCGUAAGGAGGAGGAAGGUGAGGACGACGUCAAGUCAUCAUGGCCCUUACGGCUAGGGCAACACACGUGCUACAAUGGUUAGGACAAUGAGACGCAAUACCGCGAGGUGGAGCAAAUCUAUAAACCUAAUCUCAGUUCGGAUUGUUCUCUGCAACUCGAGAACAUGAAGCUGGAAUCACUAGUAAUCGUAGAUCAGCUAUGCUACGGUGAAUACGUUCCCGGGUCUUGUACUCACCGCCCGUCACACCAUGGGAGUUGAUUUCACCCGAAGCGGGGAAGCUAAACUGGCUACCCUCCACGGUGGAAUUAGCGACUGGGGUGAAGUCGUAACAAGGUAACCGUA
Molecule: ribosomal RNA, 739 nt
Filed under: uncultured Campylobacterota bacterium
Lineage: Bacteria; Pseudomonadati; Campylobacterota
Description: bacterial SSU rRNA
Rfam family: Bacterial small subunit ribosomal RNA
Source: RNAcentral